Phyllostomus discolor (pale spear-nosed bat) is the source of this 1309-nucleotide long non-coding RNA. RefSeq lists it as uncharacterized. The record is from RefSeq and is a predicted model, not a curated record. The transcript has 5 exons. Lineage: Eukaryota; Metazoa; Chordata; Mammalia; Chiroptera; Phyllostomidae.
CCCUCGUAGAACCCCGCUUUUGAAGUGUCUAUGUUUUCUUCAUUCAGAAGAACAGAUCAGCAUCUCUCAUGCAGGCCUGGCUCCGUGCCCAUCUCACUUUUGCAAUGAGUUUAGCAACAUCUGCUUUGCCCAUUAAAGUGAUUUUUUCUCUUCCUGGCCCUGAGCCUGUGUGCUUGCUGCAAUUGAUUACCAGCAAUUUCCUUCCCAAACCAGCGGGUUCAGUGAACUCUAAAUUGAAUUGUUGCUCGCUGGUCUCCUUUCCACCAAUGUGUACGGCUUACGUGCAACAUGGUCAAGCCACUUAGUUCCUGAAUCUACAGGCUUAUGGUUCUGGUUAAACACCGGGGAGGACCUGCUUCCGAGGAGAUGCACUCUGCGUGACAUUUAAUACCUGAGUUUUCAGGAGACUGGAGUUAAGAGGAAGAGUUCACCAAAGCUGAUGGACAAGGAGGCCAUUCAUUCAUUCAAGAAACAGUCCACCUAUUGCACAUCUGUGCAUGCCCCAUGCCCUGUUUGUGUUGUGGAGACAGCCGCAGGAGCAGAUGCUCACAAAGAGACAAAGAGGACUGCUCAUGGUGAUCACCUGUGACAGAUGGCUGUAGAGAGAACGGCCCUAGCCCAGACACUGUGAGCCGCUUCGUGUUUGUUACCGUGUCUGCUCUGACCGCAGUCCUGCGCGGUAGGCCCGGCAGGCACGCGGGGUUUCCAUCGCGUGGAUGAUACCGGAACCUCCGGGAGUGGAGAAUUUGCACCAGGUCACAUGAGUGAGCCAGAAAGAGACUCUUCACUAACGCGGUCACUUCUUGGACUAGAGCCAGCAUAUAACAGAGUUUUCAUUGAUGCAUGAGGAAAUGAGAAAACUAAGAGGAAACCAGAGUGAAGAUCAGACCGUGGUGACGAGAUGAUGGGGUCCCCAACCCCCACGUCAGCGUCAGCUUCGCCUCUUCUCCGUGUGGUCUGGGGUUGUGUCUCGCGCUGCUGUGGGCGGGCGUUACUGCCUACAGCCCUGGCGUGACUCCAGGGGAGCAGGACCCUGCGCUCCCAUGACCGGCGGAGACUGAGGCCCCUGACGGAGGCCACCUCCUCCAGGAGUUGACAAGUCCCCUGAGCUUUGCAACCACUGCUUCCCCAAACUGCUUCCUCCUCAGAACCGCUCUGGUGCAACCUUGACGCCACCCUUCCUCUUCCUUCACCUGAGGAGGCAAAGCAGGGUCAGGCGAGAACCUUUGCUUCCCCCUCUUUUCUUUCAUUCGUCAUUAGCAUUCACCCCCCUGAUCCAUUUUCGGUGUUGUAUAUCCCUGAGGCUUUC